UGUAGAUAGGAGUUAACUCUUUUUGCCCUAUCAAUAAGGCUAAAGAGAGGGGGAGUGGCACUACAUUGGGCAAUCAGCUCUAAAUGUUUGAGCAGGCAUAUGGCAAUUGCUGCCCAGUGCUUGUCUUUCACAGGGUGAGAGGUUCCUCCAGUCAGGCUGGAUGCUGCUCUGGAUGGAGUGGUGUUGUGCAUCUGGACAGAAGCAGCAGCAGAAGUGUUACUUACACUGAGUCUUGUCCCUGCCAGCCACAAACUGCCUGGCCUUCAGCAGCGGAUGUGUGUUUGGAGUAUGUCCCUGCUUUCCAGCAGCAAGUACUGCUUCUCUUCCUGCCUGUUCACCACCUUGUGAAGCUGCUGCUCCUGGGCUUAGGUGGACUUUAG
Molecule: long non-coding RNA, 380 nt
Filed under: Numida meleagris (helmeted guineafowl)
Lineage: Eukaryota; Metazoa; Chordata; Aves; Galliformes; Numididae
Description: lncRNA (ENSNMEG00000014429.1)
Source: RNAcentral